GACGAACGCUGGCGGCGUGCUUAACACAUGCAAGUCGAACGGAAAGGCCCUGCUUGCAGGGUACUCGAGUGGCGAACGGGUGAGUAACACGUGGGUUAUCUGCCCUGCACUUCGGGAUAAGCCUGGGAAACUGGGUCUAAUACCGGAUAGGAGCCAUUUUUAGUGUGAUGGUUGGAAAGUUUUUUCGGUGUAGGAUGAGCUCGCGGCCUAUCAGCUUGUUGGUGGGGUAAUGGCCUACCAAGGCGGCGACGGGUAGCCGGCCUGAGAGGGUGGACAGCCACACUGGGACUGAGAUACGGGCCAGACUCCUACGGGAGGCAGCAGUGGGGAAGAUUGCACAAUGGGCGCAAGCCUGAUGCAGCGACGCCGCGUGGGGGAUGACGGCCUUCGGGUUGUAAACUCCUUUCGCUAGGGACGAAGCUUUUUGUGACGGUACCUAGAUAAGAAGCACCGGCUAACUACGUG
Molecule: ribosomal RNA, 465 nt
Filed under: uncultured bacterium
Lineage: Bacteria
Description: partial 16S ribosomal RNA
Rfam family: Bacterial small subunit ribosomal RNA
Source: RNAcentral